Molecule: ribosomal RNA, 229 nt
Filed under: uncultured bacterium
Lineage: Bacteria
Description: partial 16S ribosomal RNA
Rfam family: Bacterial small subunit ribosomal RNA
Source: RNAcentral
UCCGUAGGCGGAUUGAUAAGUCAGAGGUGAAAUCCCACAGCUUAACUGUGGAACUGCCUUUGAAACUGUUAGUCUUGAGUUAUAUGGAAGUAGAUAGAAUGUGUAGUGUAGCGGUGAAAUGCAUAGAGAUUACACAGAAUACCGAUUGCGAAGGCAGUCUACUACGUAUAUACUGACGCUAAUGGACGAAAGCGUGGGGAGCGAACAGGAUUAGAUAACCUGGUAGUCC